RNAcentral lists this ribosomal RNA (700 nucleotides) under uncultured Haliscomenobacter sp. Its description in RNAcentral is "bacterial SSU rRNA". It matches the Rfam family "Bacterial small subunit ribosomal RNA", at positions 62 to 765 of the family's 1533-position model. The record is from RNAcentral. Lineage: Bacteria; Pseudomonadati; Bacteroidota; Saprospiria; Saprospirales; Haliscomenobacteraceae.
UCGAGCGGCAAGGUCUUCGGACCCUAGAGCGGCGCACGGGUGAGUAACGCGUACGCAAUCUGCCCUUCAGUGAGGAAUAGCCCUGGGAAACUGGGAUUAAUACCUCAUAACAUUAAAGAGCUGCAUGGCUUUUUAAUUAAAGUUCUGGCGCUGAAGGAUGAGCGUGCGUCUGAUUAGCUAGUUGGUAGGGUAACGGCCUACCAAGGCUACGAUCAGUAGGGGGCGUGAGAGCGUGACCCCCCACACGGGUACUGAGACACGGACCCGACUCCUACGGGAGGCAGCAGUAAGGAAUAUUGGGCAAUGGAGGCAACUCUGGCCCAGCCAUCCCGCGUGAAGGAUUAAGGCCCUAUGGGUUGUAAACUUCUUUUGUUUGGGAAGAAAUCUGGACAUUUAUGUGCAGUUGACGGUACCUUACGAAUAAGCACCGGCUAACUCCGUGCCAGCAGCCGCGGUAAUACGGAGGGUGCAAGCGUUAUCCGGAAUCACUGGGUUUAAAGGGUGCGUAGGCGGUUUGAUAAGUCAGAGGUGAAAGCUAGCAGCUUAACUGUUAAAUUGCCUUUGAUACUGUCAGACUUGAAUCAAGUUGAGGUAGGCGGAAUGUGACAUGUAGCGGUGAAAUGCAUAGAUAUGUCAUAGAACACCAAUUGCGUAGGCAGCUUGCUGGGCUUGAAUUGACGCUGAGGCACGAAAGCGUGGG